AUUGAACGCUGGCGGCAUGCCUUACACAUGCAAGUCGAACGGCAGCACGGGAGCAAUCCUGGCGGCGAGUGGCGAACGGGUGAGUAAUAUAUCGGAACGUGCCCAGCCGUGGGGGAUAACGCAGCGAAAGCUGUGCUAAUACCGCAUACGAUCUAAGGAUGAAAGCGGGGGAUCGCAAGACAUCGCGCGAUUGGAGCGGACGAUAUGAGAUUAGCUAGUUGGUGGGGUAAAGGCCAACCAAGGCGACGAUCUGUAGCUGGUCUGAGAGGACGACCAGCCACACUGGAACUGAGACACGCUCCAGACUCCUACGGGAGGCAGCAGAGGGGAAUUUUGGACAAUGGGCGCAAGCCUGAUCCAGCAAUGCCGCGUGCAGGAUGAAGGCCUUCGGGUUGUAAACUGCUUUUGUACGGAACGAAACGGCCCUUUCUAAUACAGGGGGCUAAUGACGGUACCGUAAGAAUAAGCACCGGCUAACUACGUGCCAGCAGCCGCAGUAA
This 500-nucleotide ribosomal RNA is filed under the name uncultured bacterium. RNAcentral describes it as "partial 16S ribosomal RNA". It matches the Rfam family "Bacterial small subunit ribosomal RNA", at positions 29 to 523 of the family's 1533-position model. The record is from RNAcentral.